This 545-nucleotide long non-coding RNA is filed under the name Prunus persica (peach). RNAcentral describes it as "long non-coding RNA (PPER_LNC001320)". The record is from RNAcentral. Lineage: Eukaryota; Viridiplantae; Streptophyta; Magnoliopsida; Rosales; Rosaceae.
GAGAAUCUCAUAUAUGGAAAUUCAUAAAAUAAAAUUAAAAAUACACCAACACAGAUUAACAAUUACAACAAAGGGAUAGACAAUUACAUACUAAUUACAUACUAAGCAAGAAAAUUAAAAAAUGAUGAACAAAUACAUACUUGAAGUUGAUCAAUUCAACAAAUAUCUCUAAACUUUUUCCCCUUCCUAAUCUGCACAUAAAUUCAAUAGAAAGAAAAGGUCAUAAAUAAUUAUAAAGUUAAAAACCUUGUGGGAAUGGGGUGCCCUAAUCUUGGGAGGAAACAUGGUAUUUACUGUUAGACUCCACAUGGUAAAAUUAUAUUAUUCAAUAACACGGAAAGCUAAAACUGGAUACUUCUUUAGUAAAUUUAGGUUUUAAUCACAAAAAACUUUUACUUUUGGAAAAAGCCAAAAUUUUUCCAAAAAAAAAAAAGAAAAAUCGCUCAACUUUCAAACCAAAAACAUGCAAAUGUAUUGGAUUCAUUAGGAAAUCUAAAAAUAAAUAAGGGCAUUUUUGUCCAUUUUGACUUCUUUUAAAAAAUUUC